CUGAUCUGUGAGUCCACCCUCGUUCUUCUUCCAGUACUGCAUUAGGACAAGGAUGCACUCUCUGCACAGGUUCUAGUUCAGUAAUUUAGAAUCUGCCAAAACUUCCAGGCUCAAUUUUCUCGUGCUGACCCAGUCCCAUAAUACUUGGAUUACAGCAGCGGUGGUUCUGUGGAAGCAGAUGCCUAACUCCCACAACUGCAGGAGAGAGGAACCAUGGAGCAUUGAUUACUAAAUCACUGUUGAUGAUACAUGAUUCCACUACACUAACAACACACAUCAUUACAAAUAUUGCCUAGUGUCUAAUCUCACAAUAAACACACAAACUGCCUUCACCAGGGAACAUU
Cyanistes caeruleus (blue tit) is the source of this 344-nucleotide non-coding RNA. The record is from RefSeq and is a predicted model, not a curated record. Lineage: Eukaryota; Metazoa; Chordata; Aves; Passeriformes; Paridae.